AAUAUUGCGCAAUGGAGGAAACUCUGACGCAGCGACGCCGCGUGAGCGAUGAAGGUCUUCGGAUCGUAAAGCUCUGUCCUUGGGGAAGAAGAUCGAAAGAUUUGACGGUACCCGAGGAGGAAGCCCCGGCUAACUACGUGCCAGCAGCCGCGGUAAUACGUAGGUGGCGAGCGUUGUCCGGAAUUAUUGGGCGUAAAGCGUGCGUAGGCGGUCUAUUAAGUCUGAUUUGAAAGCCCAUGGCUUAACCAUGGAGGGUGAUUGGAAACUGGUAGACUUGAGUACAGGAGAGGAAGGUGGAAUUCCACGUGUAGCGGUGAAAUGCGUAGAUAUGUGGAGGAACACCAGUGGCGAAGGCGGCCUUCUGGCCUGAAACUGACGCUGAUGCACGAAAGCGUGGGUAGCAAACAG
RNAcentral lists this ribosomal RNA (408 nucleotides) under uncultured bacterium. Its description in RNAcentral is "partial 16S ribosomal RNA". It matches the Rfam family "Bacterial small subunit ribosomal RNA", at positions 360 to 775 of the family's 1533-position model. The record is from RNAcentral.